This is a long non-coding RNA of Myiozetetes cayanensis, 216 nucleotides long. RefSeq lists it as uncharacterized. NCBI's taxonomy places the organism in Eukaryota, Metazoa, Chordata, Aves, Passeriformes, Tyrannidae. The transcript is spliced from 3 exons. The record is from RefSeq and is a predicted model, not a curated record.
AGACUUUGAGAACAAUCUGAAGGACAAACCCCAAGCUUUUUGGAGGCUGCUAAGCCCAGAAUAUGGAGCAGCCCUGCUGGUCGGAUGGGCAGACGACGGCACCGACAGAGGCUUCCCAGUGCGACACCCCAAGGUUUUCCCUUCCUUGGGCCAACGUCCUCCUCCAGCAGCUCUUCAAAAGUUACCAGAGUGAAGGUUCCUGAUUACAAUGAAGAG